This 324-nucleotide ribosomal RNA is filed under the name uncultured eukaryote. Its description in RNAcentral is "partial 18S ribosomal RNA". It matches the Rfam family "Eukaryotic small subunit ribosomal RNA", at positions 1470 to 1796 of the family's 1831-position model. The record is from RNAcentral.
CCCUUAGAUGUUCUGGGCCGCACGCGCGCUACACUGAUGCAUUCAACGAGUUUCUUCCUGGUCCGAGAGGAGUGGGUAACCUUUUGAAAGUGCAUCGUGAUAGGGAUAGACUAUUGCAAUUAUUGGUCUUCAACGAGGAAUUCCUAGUAGACGUAGUUCAUCAGACUGCAUCGAUUACGUCCCUGCCCUUUGUACACACCGCCCGUCGCUCCUACCGAUUGAAUGCUCAGGUGAGCCAUUCGGACUUUCAUCAUGCUGGUUUCCAGUUUUGAUGAAGGAAAGUCUUGCGAACCUUAUCAUUUAGAGGAAGGAGAAGUCGUAACA